AUCGGGGAAGUCGGUGAUCCUAUGCUGCCAAGAAAAUCUUCUAGCGAGGUUCUAGCCGCCCGUACCCCAAACCGACUCAGGUGGUUAGGUAGAGAAUACCAAGGCGAUCGAGUGAAUCGUGGUUAAGGAAUUCGGCAAAAUACCCCCGUAACCUAGGGAGAAGGGGGGCCCAGAGGGUGACGGGACUUGCUCCCCGAGCCUGAACGGCCGCAGAGACCAGGGAGAAGCGACUGUUUACUAAAAACACAGGUCCGUGCCAAGUCGCAAGACGAUGUAUACGGACUGACGCCUGCCCGGUGCUGGAACGUUAAGGGGACCGGUUAGCCUCACGGCGAAGCUGAGAACUUAAGCGCCAGUAAACGGCGGUGGUAACUAUAACCAUCCUAAGGUAGCGAAAUUCCUUGUCGGGUAAGUUCCGACCUGCACGAAUGGCGUAACGAUUUCUCCACUGUCUCAACCACGAACUCGGCGAAAUUGCACUACGAGUAAAGAUGCUCGUUACGCGCAGAAGGACGGAAAGACCCCGGGACCUUCACUACAGCUUGGUAUUGGUGUUCGGUACGGCUUGUGUAGGAUAGGUGGGAGACUGUGAAGCGGACACGCCAGUGUCGGUGGAGUCAACGUUGAAAUACCACUCUGGUCGUUCUGGAUAUCUAACCUAGGUCCGUGAUCCGGAUCAGGGACAGUGCCUGGUGGGUAGUUUAACUGGGGCGGUUGCCUCCUAAAAGGUAACGGAGGCGCCCAAAGGUUCCCUCAGCCUGGCUGGCAAUCAGGUGUCGAGUGUAAGUGCACAAGGGAGCUUGACUGUGAGACAGACAUGUCGAGCAGGGACGAAAGUCGGGACUAGUGAUCCGGCGGCUGCUUGUGGAAGCGCCGUCGCUCAACGGAUAAAAGGUACCCCGGGGAUAACAGGCUGAUCUUGCCCAAGAGUCCAUAUCGACGGCAUGGUUUAGCACCUCGAUGUCGGCUCGUCGCAUCCUGGGGCUGGAGUAGGUCCCAAGGGUUGGGCUGUUCGCCCAUUAAAGCGGUACGCGAGCUGGGUUUAGAACGUCGUGAGACAGUUCGGUCCCUAUCCUCUGCGCGCGCAGGAAACUUGAGAAGGGCUGUCCCUAGUACGAGAGGACCGGGAUGGACGAACCUCUGGUGUGUCAGUUGUUCUGCCAAGAGCACCGCUGAUUAGCUACGUUCGGGAGUGAUAACCGCUGAAAGCAUCUAAG
RNAcentral lists this ribosomal RNA (1217 nucleotides) under metagenome. RNAcentral describes it as "bacterial LSU rRNA". It matches the Rfam family "Bacterial large subunit ribosomal RNA", at positions 1581 to 2785 of the family's 2925-position model. The record is from RNAcentral.